UUGAGAGAAUACAUAUCGUGAAUGGUGGACCAACUACCUUAAUGGAGUUGAAUAAAUUCCAUGUCAAUUUUUUGAUAAAAAAAAAGCUUUUCAUACCUAACCAAAUUAAGAUCGGAUUAUUUGUCACUCAUUUUUUUCGACCAACCACACCGUACGGAAAAUUCAUGUUUCACCAGAGCGUUGCAAAGAAUAACUUCAAUAUUAAAAAGAGUACUAGAUCUUGAUCCGCACAUCCGUGCGGGUUUAAUUAUUCUAUAUUAAAAUAUUCUAAUUAUAUAACAUUAUCAUGUAACAAUUUUAUUUUACAUAAUAAAUACAAAACAAUUAUGUUGUCAACAUUAUUAUGUAAC
Molecule: long non-coding RNA, 350 nt
Filed under: Brassica napus (rape)
Lineage: Eukaryota; Viridiplantae; Streptophyta; Magnoliopsida; Brassicales; Brassicaceae
Description: long non-coding RNA (BNAP_LNC004679)
Source: RNAcentral